CCAAGGAGUGCAACAUGCGUGCGAGUCUGUGGGUUGUCAGACCCGUCGGCGCAAUGAGAGUGAAAGGGACAUUCGUCCGCCGAGGCAGGAGCCGUGGUAAAUGCUAGCGGCCCACUGUUGACCGAUCCCGUACCACGCUGUGGUGGGAUUCGAGUGAGAGCGUGCCUGUUGCGACCCGAAAGAUGGUGAACUAUGCCUGAAUAGGGCGAAGCCAGAGGAAACUCUGGUGGAGGCUCGCAGCGGUUCUGACGUGCAAAUCGAUCGUCAAAUUUGGGUAUAGGGGCGAAAGACUAAUCGAACCAUCUAGUAGCUGGUUCCCUCCGAAGUUUCCCUCAGGAUAGCUGGAGCCCGUGAGCAGUUUUAUCAGGUAAAGCGAAUGAUUAGAGGUCUUGGGGUUGAAACAACCUCAACCUAUUCUCAAACUUUAAAUGGGUAAGAAGUYCGGCUUGCUCGGUUUGAAGUCGGACGYUGGAAUGCUUGGGCUCCCAGUGGGCCAUUUUUGGUAAGCAGAACUGGCGAUGCGGGAUGAACCGAACGCCGGGUUAAGGUGCCCGAAUUGACGCUCAUCAGAUACCAUGAAAGGU
This 584-nucleotide ribosomal RNA is filed under the name Axinyssa aplysinoides. RNAcentral describes it as "partial large subunit ribosomal RNA". It matches the Rfam family "Eukaryotic large subunit ribosomal RNA", at positions 666 to 1222 of the family's 3401-position model. Lineage: Eukaryota; Metazoa; Porifera; Demospongiae; Suberitida; Halichondriidae. The record is from RNAcentral.